UGAAGGGAACCGAUUACAUCUUCGGCGACUUCCUUCGCUGUCGUUAUGAAGCACUUGAUUUUCAUCGGCGUGAUCGUUGUUUGUGUAGCUUGGUCAGGUGCACGUGUUCCCAUACACCAGGUGCACGUGUUCCCGUCCCCACUUCCUUUGAACCUGGAGGUCGGCGAUGUCUGUGUGAGUAGCUCCCAGUGCCUGUCCGACUGCUGUCUCCUUGGCGACCCCGUAGGUGACGCAGGACAGGCCUGCUUCCUGAAGGGCAAACCUGGUGACAGAUGCAACGACGAAGAAAUCAAGGGUGGUGUGCAAACAGACUUCUGCCCUUGCGAAACGGGGACCUGCGGUGUUGACGGAGUCUGCCCCUUGUGAAGAUGAAGAUAUUGCACCAGACAGCCGUCUCUAGCUGAAUAAGCUCCAUCAAAUAAAGUGAUGCUCUCGGUAAAAUGA
Ornithodoros turicata is the source of this 444-nucleotide long non-coding RNA. RefSeq lists it as uncharacterized. Lineage: Eukaryota; Metazoa; Arthropoda; Arachnida; Ixodida; Argasidae. The transcript is spliced from 3 exons. The record is from RefSeq and is a predicted model, not a curated record.